Molecule: ribosomal RNA, 532 nt
Filed under: uncultured bacterium
Lineage: Bacteria
Description: partial 16S ribosomal RNA
Rfam family: Bacterial small subunit ribosomal RNA
Source: RNAcentral
UGGGGAAUAUUGCACAAUGGGCGAAAGCCUGAUGCAGCAACGCCGCGUGAGUGAUGAAGGCCUUCGGGUUGUAAAGCUCUGUCUUUUGGGACGAUAAUGACGGUACCAAAGGAGGAAGCCACGGCUAACUACGUGCCAGCAGCCGCGGUAAUACGUAGGUGGCAAGCGUUGUCCGGAUUUACUGGGCGUAAAGGAUGCGUAGGCGGAUUUUUAAGUGAGAUGUGAAAUACCCGGGCUUAACUUGGUGCUGCAUUUCAAACUGGGAAUCUAGGUGCGGGAGAGGAAAUGGAAUUCCUAGUGUAGCGGUGAAAAUGCGUAGAGAUUAGGAAGAACACCAGUGGCGAAGGCGAUUCUCUGGACCGUAACUGACGCUGAGGCAUGAAAAGCGUGGGUAGCAAAACAGGAUUAGAUACCCUGGUAGUCCACGCCGUAAACGAUGAGUACUAGGUGUAGGAGGUAUCGACCCCUUCUGUGCCGCAGUUAACACAAUAAGUACUCCGCCUGGGAAGUACGAUCGCAAGAUUAAAAACUC